UACAUCUCUAGCGUAGAGAUUUGGUGCAUCGAUUUUAGGAAGAAAAGAGAAGAAAGAGUUCUUCUCAUGAUCUCUAGCGUAGAGAUCAUUAUCCUCCUAUUUUCUUCUUCUUUUCUAAGAGUGUCUGAGAGAAAAAAAGAUUAUUCAACUGUCAAGAUACGAUCUCUGCAAGAAAGCUAGCACCCCAAUGAAAUCAAGAAGCUUCUGA
This 208-nucleotide long non-coding RNA is filed under the name Elaeis guineensis (African oil palm). Its description in RNAcentral is "long non-coding RNA (EGUI_LNC028305)". The record is from RNAcentral. Lineage: Eukaryota; Viridiplantae; Streptophyta; Magnoliopsida; Arecales; Arecaceae.